GACAGAGGUGCCGAGCGUUAGGCGGAAUCACUGGGCUUAAAGCGUGUGUAGGCGGGUCGUUAAGUGUCUUGUGAAAUCCCACCGCUCAACGGUGGAACCGCUGGGCAUACUGGCGAUCUUGAGCAGUCCAGGGGCGAGCGGAACAAGCGGUGGAGCGGUGAAAUGCGUAGAUAUCGGGAAGAACACCUAUGGCGAAGGCAGCUCUCUGGGACGGGUACUGACGCUGAGACGCGAAAGCGUGGGGAGCGAACAGG
RNAcentral lists this ribosomal RNA (254 nucleotides) under uncultured bacterium. RNAcentral's name for it is "partial 16S ribosomal RNA". It matches the Rfam family "Bacterial small subunit ribosomal RNA", at positions 524 to 776 of the family's 1533-position model. The record is from RNAcentral.